AGAAUCAACGCUGGCGGCGUGCCUAACACAUGCAAGUCGAACGAGAAAGUGGAGCAAUCCAUUAGUAAAGUGGCGCACGGGUGAGUAACACGUGACUAACCUACCCUUGAGUGGGGGAUAACCUAGAGAAAUCUGGGCUAAUACCGCAUAAUACCUUCGGGUCAAAGGAGCAAUUCGCUUAAGGAGGGGGUCGCGGCCGAUUAGUUAGUUGGCGGGGUAAUGGCCCACCAAGACUAUGAUCGGUAUCCGGCCUGAGAGGGCGCACGGACACACUGGAACUGAAACACGGUCCAGACUCCUACGGGAGGCAGCAGUGGGGAAUUUGCGCAAUGGGGGAAACCCUGACGCAGCAACGCCGCGUGGAGGAUGAAGCCCCUUGGGGCGUAAACUCCUUUCGAUCGGGACGAUAAUGACGGUACCGAGAGAAGAAGCCCGGCUAAACUUCGCGCCAGCAGCCGC
RNAcentral lists this ribosomal RNA (459 nucleotides) under uncultured bacterium. RNAcentral describes it as "SSU rRNA". It matches the Rfam family "Bacterial small subunit ribosomal RNA", at positions 26 to 518 of the family's 1533-position model. The record is from RNAcentral.